Long non-coding RNA from Rhea pennata, 333 nucleotides. RefSeq lists it as uncharacterized. Lineage: Eukaryota; Metazoa; Chordata; Aves; Rheiformes; Rheidae. The transcript has 2 exons. The record is from RefSeq and is a predicted model, not a curated record.
GAAACAUCGCAAAUCUUCUUCACCCAACCUCAGGGCUGCAGUACCUGCAGGGAUCAAACCUGGGGCUGGACCUCCUGGCACUUAAGCUGAGCCAUUGGCAAUACAAGUCUAACCCAGAUCUCUGAAGGAACCAGAGCAAAGUCUGGAGGAGAAAACGCCUGCAGCAAGACUCAGCAUAUCCCAGAGAGGGAACUGUCAACUUAGCAAUGCUGGCACAGCCCUGCCCUUCUUCAGCAGUGUUACCAUCACUUAUUUCUGUAGCAGCAACGUUUGGCUGGAUUUCUGUGUGGCUACAUUUGCCAUCUGCGUCAGAUAAAAUUGCCUUUUAUCUCA